AGAUUGAACGCUGGCGGUAGGCCUAACACAUGCAAGUCGAGCGCGAAAGUGCCUUCGGGUGCGAGUAGAGCGGCGGACGGGUGCGUAACGCGUAGGAAUCUGCCUGGUAGUGGGGGAUAACUCGGGGAAACUCGAGCUAAUACCGCAUACGCCCCAUGGGGGAAAGCGGGGGACCUUCGGGCCUCGCGCUAUCAGAUGAGCCUGCGUCGGAUUAGCUAGUUGGUAGGUAAUGGCCUACCAAGGCGACGAUCCGUAGCUGGUCUGAGAGGAUGAUCAGCCACACUGGGACUGAGACACGGCCCAGACUCCGUACGGGAGCAGCGAGGUGGGAAUAUUGGACAAGUGGGGGCAACCCGUGAUCCAGCCAUACCGCGUGUGUAGAAGACGGCCGUUCGGGUUAGUAAGUCUACGUUCGAGGUACGGGAAGGUAAAGUU
This 435-nucleotide ribosomal RNA is filed under the name uncultured soil bacterium. RNAcentral's name for it is "bacterial SSU rRNA". It matches the Rfam family "Bacterial small subunit ribosomal RNA", at positions 26 to 461 of the family's 1533-position model. The record is from RNAcentral.